This 406-nucleotide ribosomal RNA is filed under the name uncultured bacterium. RNAcentral describes it as "bacterial SSU rRNA". It matches the Rfam family "Bacterial small subunit ribosomal RNA", at positions 355 to 776 of the family's 1533-position model. The record is from RNAcentral.
UGGGGAAUAUUGGGCAAUGGGGGAAACCCUGACCCAGCAACGCCGCGUGAGGGAAGAAGGUCCUCGGAUUGUAAACCUCUGUUCCUGGAGAAGAGAAGAAGACGGUAUCCAGGGAGGAAGCCCCGGCUAACUACGUGCCAGCAGCCGCGGUAAUACGUAGGGGGCAAGCGUUGUCCGGAAUAAUUGGGCGUAAAGGGCGCGUAGGCGGCAAGGCAAGUCAGCAGUGGAAGUCCCAUUUUCAAGGUGGGGAGGGCUGUUGAAACUGCGUUGCUUGAGUGCAGGAGAGGUUAUCGGAAUUCCCGGUGUAGCGGUGAAAUGCGUAGAGAUCGGGAGGAACACCAGUGGCGAAGGCGGGUAACUGGACUGCAACUGACGCUGAGGCGCGAAAGUGUGGGGAGCAAACAGG